Long non-coding RNA from Mustela erminea (ermine), 814 nucleotides. RefSeq lists it as uncharacterized. Lineage: Eukaryota; Metazoa; Chordata; Mammalia; Carnivora; Mustelidae. The transcript has 4 exons. The record is from RefSeq and is a predicted model, not a curated record.
CAGCCCGAGCAGCUCGGUCUUCCCCUGCUCCGCCGUUCGUCCUUGGGAGGACUAAUCCUCUUCCUCACAGCACGGCCGCCUCAAGGAAGAGAGCUCCAAGAGCACAAGCGCCGGUGUGUCAGCGUCUAUCGAGUUUCUGCUCGAGUCAUGAUUGUUCGCAGCCCAUUGGCCAAAGUGAGUCACGUGGCCAAGUUCCGAGUCACGUGGGAGGUGACGUAGACUUUAUCCCCGGAUGGGCGAUGUGGUGAAGAAUUCUGGGUAUUUUGAAUCCAUCACGAUUACAAGUAUAAAAUGUAAACCUGAGAGCAGCUGGGCUGAGAACAUCCCAGUCCAAGGCUCCCUGGAGACUGAGAGGAGGGAGAAGUCAGAAGAGCAACUGAAGGAAAAGUCCAGUCCCCUGCGCUUAGCGGAACAACAGGCUGUUCCCUUCUGAUCAGACCUCACACAGAAGCCCCCAGGACCAGGCCAGGGGCAACUGCUGAGGAAGCAAUGUGUCAGCUCAAGUCUUACCCUCUGGCAACCUUUUGGUAAGGGUCAAAACUUUCUGCACGAUCUGAGGGGUUUGAAGACAUUAAAAUUAUUUUUGAUUGAAUUUUAAGUUAUCUUUCUUAACUUUGACUAGCAACUCCAGAUUUUAAGAUCAUUGCCUAGCAUGUUGGAUACUGACCAGUUAAGGGAGAGGAACCAUUCAGGCGGACAUAUGAAUAUCCACCUUUAUUACUGGAGAAGCUGAACUGGAGAACCCAGCCUGAGUUGGCAACCAUCCUCCCUCCCAAAUGCCUUCCCCACCCACUUCCCAUCCAAGACCGCAUGG